This 253-nucleotide ribosomal RNA is filed under the name uncultured bacterium. Its description in RNAcentral is "partial 16S ribosomal RNA". It matches the Rfam family "Bacterial small subunit ribosomal RNA", at positions 524 to 776 of the family's 1533-position model. The record is from RNAcentral.
GACGAACCGUGCGAACGUUGUUCGGAAUCACUGGGCUUAAAGGGCGCGUAGGCGGGCGAGCAAGGUCGGGGUGAAAUCUUUCGGCUCAACCGGAAAAGGGCCUCGGAGACUGCUCGUCUGGAGGGAGGUAGGGGCAGGUGGAACUGCUGGUGGAGCGGUGAAAUGCGUUGAUAUCAGCAGGAACGCCGGUGGCGAAAGCGACCUGCUGGACCUCUUCUGACGCUGAGGCGCGAAAGCUAGGGGAGCAAACGGG